RNAcentral lists this ribosomal RNA (443 nucleotides) under uncultured bacterium. RNAcentral describes it as "partial 16S ribosomal RNA". It matches the Rfam family "Bacterial small subunit ribosomal RNA", at positions 338 to 795 of the family's 1533-position model. The record is from RNAcentral.
CCUACGGGAGUCAGCAGUGGGGAAUCUUGCACAAUGGGCGAAAGCCUGACGCAGCAACGCCGCGUGAAGGAAGAAGGGUUUCGGCUCGUAAACUUCUAUCAACAGGGACGAAAGAAAUGACGGUACCUGACUAAUAAGCCACGGCUAACUACGUGCCAGCAGCCGCGGUAAUACGUAGGGGGCAAGCGUUAUCCGGAAUUACUGGGUGUAAAGGGUGAGUAGGCGGCAUGGUAAGCCAGAUGUGAAAGCCUUGGGCUUAACCCGGGGAUUGCAUUUGUAACUAUCAAGCUAGAGUGCAGGAGAGGAAAGCGGAAUUCCGAGUGUAGCGGUGAAAUGCGUAGAUAUAAGGAGGAACACCAGUGGCGAAGGCGGCUUUCUGGACUGAAACUGACGCUGAGGCACGAAAGCGUGGGGAGCGAACAGGAGUAGAUACCCGAGUAGUC